Molecule: ribosomal RNA, 454 nt
Filed under: uncultured bacterium
Lineage: Bacteria
Description: bacterial SSU rRNA
Rfam family: Bacterial small subunit ribosomal RNA
Source: RNAcentral
CUACGAGUUUGAUCCUGGCUCAGAACGAACGCUGGCGGCAGGCCUAACACAUGCAAGUCGAGCGCGCCUUCGGGGUGAGCGGCGGACGGGUGAGUAACGCGUGGGAACGUGCCCUUUUCUACGGAAUAGUCUCGGGAAACUGGGGGUAAUACCGUAUACGCCCUUCGGGGGAAAGAUUUAUCGGAGAAGGAUCGGCCCGCGUUGGAUUAGGUAGUUGGUGGGGUAAUGGCCUACCAAGCCGACGAUCCAUAGCUGGUUUGAGAGGAUGAUCAGCCACACUGGGACUGAGACACGGCCCAGACUCCUACGGGAGGCAGCAGUGGGGAAUCUUAGACAAUGGGCGCAAGCCUGAUCUAGCCAUGCCGCGUGAGCGAUGAAGGCCUUAGGGUUGUAAAGCUCUUUCAGGGGGAAGAUAAUGACUGUACCCCCAGAAGAAGCCCCGGCUAACUCCGUG